GGGCCAAGGGUCUGGGGCCGAUAGAGGAGGAAGGGGAGGAGGUUUGCUAGAUCCUUACAAUGGGCCAGAAGGGGGGCAAUGGGAAUACAACGGCCCCAUUCCCAAAGCGGGACAAAAACUCUACAUGAUAAUGAGUGAGGCUGCCCUCCCUCCCUACAAUCCAGGCCUAAACUGAGGAAAUAGGUGAGAGAAACACAGACAGACAAUCAGGCUGGCAGACAGACAAACAUAUAGCUAUGAAGACAGGAACACCCUAAGGAGCAGAUGGAUAGUGAAACAAGAGAGGAACAACCACAGAAAUAUAGAGAUCAGUGGAAGGAGUGAGGCCCCAAUUGAGAAAGAUGGAGAGAGAGCAACUGGUUUCUUUAACUUGCCUCUAUCUCCCUUUCCCAGCCCCCCAUACAGGCGCCCCUGUAGCCCCCGCCUCCUCCUUUUUCUCUUUCCCUCCCCCUCUGAUUAGCCCUUUACAAAUUCCUUAGGGCUGGUGCUGCCCCUAAUCCACUGGCCCAGAAGUUUAUUUCAGCCUGGAAUUUUUUUCCACAAAUGGAUUUUCACUUCUGUUCUGGUUGAAUGAGAAAGGGGCAUAGUGAGGGGAUACACUUAGUCCUCCACUUAUUCCAUCCUGGAAGCCUGGGUUCGAUCGCCAGACUAUAGGAUGUUUCUUCUCAAUUGUAGCUUCCAGAGAGGUAGGAUAAUGAAGUGGAAAGAAAUAUGGCUUGUAAUCAAGGGAGCUGAGUCAAUACCAGCCCUGAUGCUGUAUGAUCCUGGCUUGGACCUUUGGCUUGGAUCUUCUCCUUGGGACUGUUCCUGGGACUUCACUUUUUGGACUUCUUCUUGGAUCCUGCAUCAGUGAACUGGGGGAGUAGCUGGCCUUCCUUUCCUGGAGAAGGGUGAAUUGACAGAAUCCUUGCUGAAGACACCACUGGACUUCUGAUUGAGGAUUAUCAGAAAAUCCACAUGGGGACAAGGGACAUGAUGAAGCCCUGCUGGGUCUGAGCCCCACACUGGAGCAAUGCUUAGGGUGAUAGGCUACAUAAUUCUCUACCUUCUUCUUAACAUUUUCCCACUUUCACUCUUUCCAUCUCUUUGUAAAUAAAGCUACUAAAAGUCAUUUUAACUUAAGUUAUAAUAUCUUUAAAACAGCAAACAUAAUAUUACUUAAGAACUUUCAUAUUUAGCAUAAAACCUAAAAUUUUGAAUUCUUACAUAGGUAAUAAACAUUUAUAUAGCACCUACUACAUGCUAGAUACUUUACAAAAAUUUUCAUUUGAUACUUACAACAACCCUGGGAGGUAGGUAUUAUUAUUAUCCCCUUUUUAUAGUUAAUAAAACUGAGGCAAACAGCAGUUAAGUGACUUGCUUGGGGUCACACAGCUAGUAAUUGUCUAAGGCUGGAUUUGAAUUUAGGUAUUCCUGACUCCAGGCCCACUCUUUAUCUACUGUACCACCUAGCUGCUUAAUUACAGCAGUCCAUUAGAUAUUUGCCACCUACAGAAGCCCAGAAUUGCCCUUGAGCUAACCAAGACACUUCAAUUGGCUAGGACAAAUUCCAUCUUUGGAUCAUCUGGUGAGUUUUCCAGAAGUGGAAGGACCUGAUCCAGUCAAUGAUGAAGGAGGACCAUGAUUGACUUUAGGGUUGAGGGACAGUGGUUGAGUGCUCUAUCCAAUGGCCAGGUGGUCACUGUUCCCAAUUAUCCUCUUCUUUUUUUCCUCCAGCUGUGUACACCUGGGUCUGUUGUUUCCUGGCUGCUUCUCCAUUCAGGGCUCUUCUCUCCCCUCUCCUUAGCCAUCAUGGCCCCUUGUGAGAAUAUUUGUAGCAGGUGGGAAAGGCAUUCCUCUUCUCUCUGUCAGUGAUUCUGGGGCCACUGGAGAGCCUGUCAUUUCCCCAUACCUGCUGAGUUUGUUGAUCUCCUAAUGAGGUUUAAUACUGUGGCUGAGUUUCAAACUCAUGAGAUCACAUCAUUCUGAGUGCUGGCUUGGUGCCUUUUUCUUCAUCUAUUCUAUAUAGACACCUUGGUAACAAUAUCUGUCCUGAAAAAGUUGACCAGUGCAGAGAAGGGCAUAUCUAUUGGGCUACAGCUAGUUCCAUGACCCUAGUCAUGGUCAUCUCAACAGGGCAAAGUAAUUAGAGGACAGAACUAAAAAUUGUACCUAUCUGUUAACCCUUGGCUGAAAUUUUAGGCUGGUUUGGUCAAUAGGCAAGUGUGGUAGGAUAAUAAUAAUGUAACUCAAUAUAACAACAACACAGUAUAGCAUUACCAACAAAUUAUAUAACAAUAGUAUAAACAUAGUAUAACAUCAAAACGGUAAUAAAAACAAAAGAAAAGUAACCACCCACAAUAAUCACCAAUAACAACUAUAGUACCAAUAAUUACUACUUCCACCAAUCACUAACUGCCAACACUAUCACAAUAGUCAUAAGGAUAUCUACCAACCACAGCAUUCACCAACCAUAACAAAACUGUGAUGAAAAGCAUGGAGAACGAGUCUUGGAUUCAGUAAGAUCUGAAUUCAAGUCCUGCCUCUGACAAUUACUGGCUACAAAGCUCUGGGCAAGUCACUUAACCUUUCAAUGCCUCCAGCAGUGCUAAGACUAUAAGGAACAGAUGCCCUACUUCUCUACACUGUUAUAUAGUUGUUUCCUAACUGGGAGCUCCUUGCAUCAAUAAAAUCACAGGUCUCCCCCACAAGUAAAACAAGAUAAAAUUGCUGUAGCAACUCACAUUUAUACAAGCACUUCAGUAGAAAGAGGUCUAGACUGAGCCAGUAGAUCUAGCUACAUAAUAAGAAUUUACAUGAUGCUUUAGGAUUUGCAAAGCACUUUAAGUAUAUUAUCCUAGUUGAUCCUAUAAAAAUCCUGUGAAGUAGGCAGUUACUGUUGUUAUUAUUUCCAUUUAUAGAGGUGAAAACUGAAACACUGACAGGUUGUGAAUUGCCCAAGGUCGUGUAGCCAACAAGUGUCUGAGAUGGGAUUUGAACCAAAGUGUUCCUGGGUACAAAUGCAGAAUUUUAUGUACAAUAUCAGGUUGCUUACACAAGUAAACUGGAUCAAACCACCUUUCUAAGCCCUUUGAUAAGUAAGAAGUAACAUACAAAUGAAAGGAAUGAAUGUGAGUAUAUAUUGAGUGCUGUAUGUGUAAAAGGCACCAUACUGUAAGAAGUGAUGUGGAAUAAUGCCAAGGACAUGGAUGUUGAAGUAAAAAAAAUCUGGGCUCAAAUCCUAACUCAAAACUAACUCUCUGGGUAACCCUAGGAAAUUCUCUUAACCUCUUUAUUUUCAGGACUGUUUUAAGGAACAUGUUUUGUACAAUUUAAAAUAUUUGGCCUUAGUGGUUUGAUAGAGAAAAUAUACACUUCACUAUGGGCCCCCCUCUCUUUGCUACCAUAAUUAUAUGAUGAUUUGUAUUGUACUAAGAGAGUGGAUGUAUCAGAGAGUCCUGUACUAGGUAGGAUCAGGCGACUCAGUUUUGUCUUUAGCUUUUGGUUACAGUAAACAAAGUACUUCUUUUCUCUGUCAAAUGAGGAAGUUAGACUAGAUCAGUAGUCUCUAAGUGUCUGAUUGUUCAUUCCAAUCAGUAAAACAAAAAUGGAGAAUGAAUGGCAAUAUGUGUAUAUUUACUUAUUUAUAAAUUACAGGCAUGUGCCACUGCAACAAUAAUUUUGUACAUUGUAAAACUUACAUAAAAUAGUCAUCAAAAGAUGAAUAAAAAUGCAAUAAUAUUGUAUACUAUCAGCAAUUGAAAGCCACUGGAUUUUAUUGAACCAAAGGAUGAUAUGAUCAGUCUUGCACUUUUGGAAAAUCACUUUGGAAGCUGUGUGGAGGUUGAAUUAGAGAGGAGAGAGACCAAGUAGGAAACUAUUGCAGUAGUCCAGGCAAGAUUUGAUGUGAGCCUGAAUUAGGAGGAUGGUUAUUUUUCUGAAGAAGCAGAAAUGACAUAAUUUGGCGACUGAUAUGUGUUGUGAGGGUGAGGAAGGAGUUGAAUAUAACAGUAAGGUAGUAAACCUGUAUGAUUGAAUGGAUGGUGGAGCCCUUAAUAGAAAUCAGAAAGUUUGGAAAAGGAUGGCUUUGGUGAGAGAGAUAAUGUAAGAUCUUUGAUGAAAAUCACAACACAUCCUUGUCUGUUCAUCCUAUGUCAUUCACUCUACCCUACCUAAAACAAAAAAGAAAAAGGGCAAUUCUACCAAGAAAGUGGAUGUAUCUUCCCAUUCACUGACCCAGAGUUCAAAGCCUUUCUCUUUGAGGGGUGCCCACUGUAGCCACAAAGUAACCUAGAUAGUAGGGAUGGGUAUUCUGGGUUGGGGAUGUCCCCAAAGGUACCUGUUGUUAUAAAUCCUCAGGCAUCACUUAGGUCCUAAGCUUUCCUGAUAGACCAACUCUAACUCAGAAGUAGGAAGCUUAGGGUCUUGAAUAGCACAAGGGGUGGAGAGAAUAGGGAAGUAUUAUUGGAUGCAGGGAAAUGUCUUUUGAAGACAAGACCACAUUGAGCUCUUUUAGGGAGAAUGUAAUACAAUUGGUCUCCUGACAAAUUUCUUUUUUAUUUUAUUUUCUUUAUUUUUUUUCCAGUUACAUGCAGAAAUUUUUUGACAAAAGUUUCUGGCAUUUUAGUAUUCAUAUUUCCUCCAUAUUUCCCUUCUACCCACCCCACUCCGAGGUGAUAAAUAGCCUGAUAUAGGUUAUGCUUGGACUUUCAUGCAAUACAUGUUUCCAUAUUGCUCAUGCCAUGACAGAAGACAUAUCAUACAUUCAAUAAAGCACUCCUGAAGGAAAUAAA
Molecule: long non-coding RNA, 4772 nt
Organism: Monodelphis domestica (gray short-tailed opossum)
Lineage: Eukaryota; Metazoa; Chordata; Mammalia; Didelphimorphia; Didelphidae
Source: RefSeq, a predicted model, not a curated record